AAGCCAAUCAAUCUGCUUAUCUCAGUGUUGCACAGAAAAUUAGAGAAGGCAGGCAAUGGUGAUGCCAUGUUAUGAGCCUUAAGGACAGCUGAAGUCUUUAAAGUCCCUGAAAAUGGCAACAGUA
Microtus ochrogaster (prairie vole) is the source of this 124-nucleotide small nucleolar RNA. The record is from Ensembl. Lineage: Eukaryota; Metazoa; Chordata; Mammalia; Rodentia; Cricetidae.